CCUACGGGAGGCUGCAGUGAGGAAUAUUGGUCAAUGGACGCAAGUCUGAACCAGCCAUGCCGCGUGCAGGAAGACGGCUCUAUGAGUUGUAAACUGCUUUUGUACGAGGGUAAACGCAGAUACGCGUCUCUGUCUGAAAGUAUCGUACGAAUCAGGAACGGCCAACACCGUGCCAGCAGCCGGGGUAAUACGGAGGAGUCAAGCGUUAACCGGAUUUAUGGGGUUUAAAGGGUGCGUAGGAGGUCUGAUAAGUUAGAGGUGAAAGCCCGAGGCUCAACUUCGGAAUUGCAUCUGAUACUGUUCGGCUAGAGAGUAGUUGCGGUAGGCGGAAUGUAUGGUGUAGCGGUGAAAUGCUUAGAGAUCAUACAGAACACCGAUUGCGAAGGCAGCUUACCAAGCUACUUCUGACGUUGAGGCACGAAAGCGUGGGGAGCAAACAGGAUUAGAUACCCUUGUAGUC
Molecule: ribosomal RNA, 460 nt
Filed under: uncultured bacterium
Lineage: Bacteria
Description: partial 16S ribosomal RNA
Rfam family: Bacterial small subunit ribosomal RNA
Source: RNAcentral